Regulatory RNA element from Ruegeria pomeroyi DSS-3, 212 nucleotides. The record is from Rfam. NCBI's taxonomy places the organism in Bacteria, Pseudomonadati, Pseudomonadota, Alphaproteobacteria, Rhodobacterales, Roseobacteraceae.
GGCUAAAUGAAGGGGUCUGGUCCUGCCGGAGCAAUCCGGAUGCUAAGAGGGAAUUUGGUGCGACCGCCCGUCGGUUCAGGCCAAAGCCGCCCCCGCGACUGUAAGCGGUGAGCCUCUGUUCAACCAGCCACUCCCGGGUUCGCCCCCGGGGGGAAGGCGAACAGAGGCACUGACCCGCGAGCCAGGAGACCUGCCAGACAGGCACUGUAACA